This 205-nucleotide long non-coding RNA is filed under the name Mytilus galloprovincialis (Mediterranean mussel). Lineage: Eukaryota; Metazoa; Mollusca; Bivalvia; Mytilida; Mytilidae. The record is from RNAcentral.
ACCCCGUAUUGUUAUGUCCAGCAAAAGUAAAAACACUAUAAAAGUUUAUGAUUACGCUUUUAAAAAAUUUAACAUUUGGUGUACAAAUUAUGACUUGUGUGCGUUACCAUCGUCAGUUGCUAACAUUGCACUUUAUUUAUCAUAUUUAAUUCAGCUGGAAGUAUCUUCUUCAGUGUUACAAAAUGCUUAUUACGCAAUUAAAUGG